Cinara cedri is the source of this 204-nucleotide non-coding RNA. Lineage: Eukaryota; Metazoa; Arthropoda; Insecta; Hemiptera; Aphididae. The record is from the annotation of a GenBank genome assembly.
GGAAAAAAGAUCUGCAAAUGAUUUUGAUCAAAUUGGAACACGCUGCACCAGAAACAAUACAUUUUUACUAUUCAUGAUUAUUUUGUAUCUUGUUCGGGCAAGUAUAAUUAUUAUUCCAUACAAUUAUGUUACCUUCCAUAUACUAACUUUUUGAUGAACAUUUUGUUGUGUGACUUCAUUAGUUGCAUUGUUUGAUUGCAUCAU